GAUAUCUCAUGACAUUAUCAUCGAUGUUGUUUUCCUCAUGCCAUUGCAUGUCACAGGCAGUGUUGGGUAUAAAAUACCCCCAGCCGAAGUUCGUGAAAGGCCGACCCUCCCAGGGAUCUUCUGGCUUCUGAUCUUAUGCGGUGUCUUUCUGAACUCUUUGUCCGAGCUUCCAUAAUAGCAUCCGGACUUCUCCAAUAAUGAGCUCCUCCAUUCAUCUACCGGACUGCUCCAAACGCUCUCUGAGCUUCACUAUCAGUCGAUUUUCUACAGUGAUCGACUAUUCUCCGAAUCUUUUCCAGACUUCUUCCAGCCACGAUCGACUCUACUCCGAACUUCUAUUGCAAGCGGACUUCAUCCGAGCUCCUACAAGAGCCGGACUCCGUCCGAACUUUUACAGUGGACGGAUCACAAACGAACUUCUACAACGGAC
This 430-nucleotide long non-coding RNA is filed under the name Elaeis guineensis (African oil palm). RNAcentral describes it as "long non-coding RNA (EGUI_LNC074525)". Lineage: Eukaryota; Viridiplantae; Streptophyta; Magnoliopsida; Arecales; Arecaceae. The record is from RNAcentral.